Molecule: long non-coding RNA, 767 nt
Organism: Bactrocera neohumeralis
Lineage: Eukaryota; Metazoa; Arthropoda; Insecta; Diptera; Tephritidae
Exons: 2
Source: RefSeq, a predicted model, not a curated record
AAUUUACCGACAUAACGUGUUACUUCGGCAGUGUUGUUCGAAUUUUUCCAUAGAACGUGAUGUUUUCGCAUCAAAGGCAACCCGGCCACUGUAAUUUCACAACAAACACACCCAUAAUUUAAAUACUAGUAAUUGUUUCCUAAAUGAUGUGCUCAACUUAUAGAGAACGACAAGCUUCAAGGGACAUCUGUCAAAUAUUAAAAUACACACAGUUAUGUAGUCGUGCAGCUGUUUAAAUACGUGUGUCCGUGGCGCCAAUUGGAGAUACCACGCGAAGCCAGGUCCUUCUCCACCUGGUCUUUCCAACGGAGUGGAGAUCUUCCUCUUCCUCUGAUUCCUCCGGCGGGUACUGCGUGGAACACUUUCAGAGCUACAGUGUUUUCGUCCAUCCGGACAACAUGACCUAGCCAGCGGAGCCGAUGUCUUUUAAUUCGCUGAACUAUGUCAAUGUCGUCGUAUAUCUCGUAGCAACUGUUGGCAAAAGACAUUCUUCGUUGGAUUUCGAGGCAGAUGUUGUUGUUGGUGUUGAUACUGGUUCCAAGGUCGACGAAAUUAUCUACAACUUUUUCGCACACUUUUAUUUUACUUUUUUUGGAACGAAGUUCCUUACGGCAGGCUUGGAGAAGAUAGGGAUUUUGCUGCGGAACCUAACUGAAAAAAAGUGAUAGUAAAACCGUAAGAAAUAACCCGUAAGAAAAAGACUGUAAGAUCGCUAGUUAUAGCCUACCUUUAGGUUUUGCAAAAUAAUUAGGCAUGAAAAUCUGUAA